AGAGUUUGAUCCUGGCUCAGGAUGAACGCUAGCGGCAGGCCUAACACAUGCAAGUCGAGGGGUAACAGGGAGUGCUUGCACUCAGCUGACGACCGGCGCACGGGUGCGUAACGCGUAUGCAAUCUACCUCUUACUGAGGGAUAGCCCAUGGAAACGUGGAUUAAUACCUCAUAGUAUUAUAGACUGGCCUCAGUUUAUGAUUAAAGGUUACGGUAAGAGAUGAGCAUGCGUCCUAUUAGCUAGAUGGUAAGGUAACGGCUUACCAUGGCUACGAUAGGUAGGGGUCCUGAGAGGGAGAUCCCCCACACUGGUACUGAGACACGGCCAGACUCCUACGGGAGGCAGCAGUGAGGAAUAUUGGACAAUGGGCGAGAGCCUGAUCCAGCCAUGCCGCGUGCAGGAAGACGGCCCUAUGGGUUGUAAACUGCUUUUACAGAGGAAGAACCCUCCUUACGUGUAAGGAGCUGACGGUACUCUAUGAAUAAGGAUCGGCUAACUCCGUGCCAGCAGCCGCGGUAAUACGGAGGAUCCAAGCGUUAUCCGGAAUCAUUGGGUUUAAAGGGUCCGUAGGCGGGUCUAUAAGUCAGUGGUGAAAGUCUGCAGCUUAACUGUAGAACUGCCAUUGAUACUGUAGACCUUGAAUUAGUAUGAAGUGGUUAGAAUGUGUAGUGUAGCGGUGAAAUGCAUAGAUAUUACACAGAAUACCGAUUGCGAAGGCAGAUCACUAAUACUAUAUUGACGCUGAUGGACGAAAGCGUAGGUAGCGAACAGGAUUAGAUACCCUGGUAGUCUACGCCGUAAACGAUGGUUACUAGCUGUCCGGCCUAAUUGAGGGCUGGGUGGUUAAGCGAAAGUGAUAAGU
This 862-nucleotide ribosomal RNA is filed under the name marine metagenome. Its description in RNAcentral is "bacterial SSU rRNA". It matches the Rfam family "Bacterial small subunit ribosomal RNA", at positions 8 to 865 of the family's 1533-position model. The record is from RNAcentral.